UAGGGAAUAUUGCGCAAUGGGCGAAAGUCUGACGCAGCAACGCCGCGUGUGGGAUGAAGCUCCUUGGAGCGUAAACCACUGUCGGGAGGGACGAACGAUCGCAACUCUAACAUAGUUGCGGUUUGACUGUACCUUCAGAGGAAGCUCCGGCUAACUCCGUG
This 161-nucleotide ribosomal RNA is filed under the name uncultured bacterium. Its description in RNAcentral is "partial 16S rRNA". It matches the Rfam family "Bacterial small subunit ribosomal RNA", at positions 355 to 507 of the family's 1533-position model. The record is from RNAcentral.